ACGGUCCUAAGGUAGCGAAAUUCCUUGUCGGGUAAGUUCCGACCCGCACGAAUGGUGUAACGAUCUGGGCACUGUCUCAACUACCCACCCGGCGAAAUUGUAGUACCGGUGAAGAUGCCGGUUACCUGCGGCAAGACGGAAAGACCCCAUGGAGCUUUACUGUAGCCUGAUAUUGGGUUUCGGAAAUCUAUGUACAGGAUAGGCGGGAGACUGGGAAACAUGAGCGUCAGCUUGUGUGGAGUCGAUGUUGGGAUACCGCCCUUAGGUUUCUGGAAUUCUAACCUGCGGCCGUGAAUCCGGUCGGGGGACAUUGUCAGGUGGGCAGUUUGACUGGGGCGGUCGCCUCCGAAAAGGUAACGGAGGCGCUCAAAGGUUAGCUCAGCACGGACGGAAACCGUGCCUCUGAGUGUAAACGCAAAAGCUAGCCUAACUGCGAGGGUGACGGCCCGAGCAGUAACGAAAGUUGGAGUUAGUGAUCCGGCGGUAUGUGAAUGGAAAUGCCGUCGCUCAACGGAUAAAAGCUACCCUGGGGAUAACAGGCUGAUCUCCCCCAAGAGUCCACAUCGACGGGGAGGUUUGGCACCUCGAUGUCGGCUCAUCACAUCCUGGGGCUGUAUUCGGUCCCAAGGGUUCGGCUGUUCGCCGAUUAAAGUGGUACGCGAGCUGGGUUCAGAACGUCGCGAGACAGUUCGGUCCCUAUCUGUCGUGGGCGCAGGAUAUUUGAGGAGCUCUGUCCUUAGUACGAGAGGACCGGGAUGGACGUACCUCUGGUGCACCAGUUGUCAUGCCAAUGGCACGGCUGGGCAGCUAUGUACGGAACGGAUAAACGCUGAAAGCAUCUAAGCGUGAAGCCGACUCCAAGAUUAGAUAUCCCAUCGUAUAACGAGUAAGACCCCUUGAAGACUACGAGGUUGAUAGGCUGCGUGUGUAAGUGCCGUGAGGCAUUCAGCUUGGCAGUACUAAUAGGUCGAGGGCUUGACCAC
This 983-nucleotide ribosomal RNA is filed under the name human gut metagenome. RNAcentral's name for it is "bacterial LSU rRNA". It matches the Rfam family "Bacterial large subunit ribosomal RNA", at positions 1945 to 2925 of the family's 2925-position model. The record is from RNAcentral.